GGGCGAUUAGCUCAGCGGGAGAGCACUCCCUUCACACGGGAGGGGUCGGCAGUUCAAUCCUGCCAUCGCCCACCA
This 75-nucleotide transfer RNA is filed under the name Nitrospirota bacterium. RNAcentral describes it as "Nitrospirae bacterium (groundwater metagenome) tRNA-Val". It matches the Rfam family "tRNA". From Rfam's summary of the family: Transfer RNA (tRNA) molecules are approximately 80 nucleotides in length. Their secondary structure includes four short double-helical elements and three loops (D, anti-codon, and T loops). The record is from RNAcentral. Lineage: Bacteria; Pseudomonadati; Nitrospirota.